This 408-nucleotide long non-coding RNA is filed under the name Eucalyptus grandis. RNAcentral's name for it is "long non-coding RNA (EGRA_LNC003140)". Lineage: Eukaryota; Viridiplantae; Streptophyta; Magnoliopsida; Myrtales; Myrtaceae. The record is from RNAcentral.
GCCGGAGAAGACAGAGUCGCGACACCUUUCCUCCUCCUUUGUUGCCGCAACUAGUCUUGAGAAACGGUAGGCGUCUCUCUCCUCGGCAAUUCUUGCUUUCUCUCUUUGGCGAUUCUCUCUUUGUUUUUCAUUGCUCCCCUUUGCCUUAUUUUAUUAGAGUUUGAUUUGUCGCUCGAUUGAGCGAGAGGGUUAGUCGUAGAUCGUUUGCGUUUUGCUGUUCGUUCGAUUUCUUCCUGUUGUAGCUCGUCUCGUGUCGUUUUUGGAGGUGCUCUCACUUUCGCCAUCGACGUACGGACCGCUCGUGCUCUCGCUUCCCGUUCUUCUUAACAACAAAUCUGCAAUCUGGGGUUCCCUGCAAUUCUUCUUUCCUCGUGGGUUUCUCCCCCUUUGCGGAAUCGAAGUAGUGGG